ACGUCAAAUCAUCACGGCCCUUAUGUCCAGGGCUACACACGUGCUACAAUGGCCGGUACAAAGCGUUGCAAACCUGCGAAGGGGAGCCAAUCGCAAAAAACCGGUCUCAGUUCAGAUUGCAGUCUGCAACUCGACUGCAUGAAGCUGGAAUCGCUAGUAAUCGUGGAUCAGAACGCCACGGUGAAUACGUUCCCGGGCCUU
RNAcentral lists this ribosomal RNA (201 nucleotides) under uncultured Leptospiraceae bacterium. RNAcentral describes it as "partial 16S ribosomal RNA". It matches the Rfam family "Bacterial small subunit ribosomal RNA", at positions 1182 to 1382 of the family's 1533-position model. The record is from RNAcentral. Lineage: Bacteria; Pseudomonadati; Spirochaetota; Leptospiria; Leptospirales; Leptospiraceae.